UUUGCUGUGUGGUGGUGGUGGUAGUGGUAGUAGUUGUGGUGGUGGUGAGUGCUUGUGAUGAUUGUUAAGUGUAAUAGUCGACUCUCUCUCUCUCUCUCUCUCUCUCUCUCUCUCUCUCUCUCUCUCUCUCUCUCUCUCUCUCGUUUCAUUUCUUAACUAGCGAAUUGGGGUUUACGUUCUUGAUGUCUCGUUUCAGUCAUUUCUCCAGGUCUCAUUCGAGUCUCGUGGGUUCAUGUGAUGUAAUUUUUGAAAUACCCUAAUCGCUCUUACCACGACUAUUCCCCAAGGCCACAGAGGACGAUUAGCCAGGUUCUCAAGAGUGUUUCUCCUGUUAAUAAUGUAGAAAUCUUGUUAAUCUCUCACUAGAACCGUAAAAACAUCCUUAAAAACCCGUGUAAUUUCAUCUUAAGCCUGUGGAAAGUAGUGGAGGUGUGGUGCAGAACUGUUAUGGAAUGCGAUCCAAGUGGGGUGUCAGGUUCGAGGCUUCACGAGGUCAGACCGUUGCCCAGCUCGAGGCCAAAGUGGCGUGAGGGAUUCAAUUCACUCCUCACUUCCUCCACGGUUGCUGCUGGGCGCUCACUCCACAUCUAUAUAGUAUGAAGACAGUUGAGCUGGCAAGCCGGCGACUGUGGUGUUGUGAGCUGACAAUAGUGGUGGUGGUGGUGGUGGUCCCUGCUGGCUGAGUGGUGAUCUCGUGGACUCUGCAGCACUGAAGCAGUUGUGUGCGGGGCCUGUCCACCAGUACCUCGCCUGCUACCAAGACUUCCCUCACGCCAACUGGUCACGCCUCACGCUCCACGCCUCCGACACUGGGGAGAGAUGCUACUCGGCCCUCACUCUGCAUGUCUUCGUCCCCUGAGAAGCGUGGUGGUGUGGAGAGUCCUCAGCAUCGUCAAUGUGGAGUUGAUGAAAUUUAGUAUUGCUUAACUCUGUAUUGAUGUCUCGGUGCUUAGUGUCUUAAUGGAAGCUACUUUUGCUGCGUGUAUGAUCUUCGAGGUCUAGCAGGUGUAAUUCUUCAGAACUCGGCUCCUCGGGUUUUCAUAUUCCACCACUUUUCUGAUGUAAUUCUCCAGCCAUCAAAUUGUGUCCAUUCGCUCGUCUCCGUUUAGGUUUGGGUCAGACUGGAGUUGUCUUAAGGAUACAAGGUUGGAUUUAAAACUUUUUUUUUUUUUUUUAGUUGUAAAUGUGUGAUUACUGGCGAAUAAAGAUAUAGGGUGAGAAAUUAAGAUGGAGGAAUGAUGUGGUGAUUCUCUAUCUCUCCUCCCCC
Molecule: long non-coding RNA, 1267 nt
Organism: Scylla paramamosain (green mud crab)
Lineage: Eukaryota; Metazoa; Arthropoda; Malacostraca; Decapoda; Portunidae
Exons: 3
Source: RefSeq, a predicted model, not a curated record